RNAcentral lists this unclassified non-coding RNA (225 nucleotides) under Hevea brasiliensis (rubber tree). The record is from RNAcentral. Lineage: Eukaryota; Viridiplantae; Streptophyta; Magnoliopsida; Malpighiales; Euphorbiaceae.
UAUCCUCCGGCAAUUAGGAAGACUAAAGUUGUGACUGAUGCUAAGGUAGUGGCCUGUUUCACAUCCAUGAGCAUGGCACCAUAUGCUAGACCGAGGCUCUGAGAAACAAGUACGCUGUAAAGGACUACUAGAAGAGAUAGGAUGAAUGUGGCAGGGUUGGCUUUGAGCCCACCCAUCCAAUAUAGGAUGAAGGUAAACGCUGUUGGUAGUGCCAGUUCCAAGGGA